This is an RNA transcript of Zalophus californianus (California sea lion), 4229 nucleotides long. It is a transcript of the gene named 39S ribosomal protein L1, mitochondrial-like, with no coding region annotated. The record is from RefSeq and is a predicted model, not a curated record. NCBI's taxonomy places the organism in Eukaryota, Metazoa, Chordata, Mammalia, Carnivora, Otariidae. The transcript has a single exon.
UGUAAAUGGGAUAGCUUUGUUUUUUGAGAUGUUUCAGUAUUAGUGUAUAGACAUGGAAACUGAUUCUGUAUGCUAAUUUUUAUCCUGUAACUUUGAGUUUUUUUGUCCUUCAAGCUGAAGUGAGUCUCUGGUAGGCAGCAUAUAGUUGGGGUUUUUGUUUUUUUUUUUAAUCCUUCCAGCUGCUCUGCCUUUUUAGGGAAUUCAACCCAUUUAUAUUUAGAAUUAUUGAUAGGUAAGGACUUACUAAUGCCAUCUUAUUAAUUGGUUCCCAGUUGUUUCAUAUUUCCAUUUUUUCUUUUUCCCUCUGUUUCUGCAUACCUUUGUAAAUUGGUGACCUUUCAUGGUGGUAUGUUUUCUUUCCCCCUUUCUGUAUCUUUUGUGAAUCUAUUCUAGGCUUUUGCUUUGUGGUUACCAUGAGGCUUACAUAAAAUGUCUCAUAGGUAAAAUAGUCCAUUUUAAGCUGAUAGCAACUGAACUUCAAUUGCCUAAAAAGCUUCAUCCUUUUGCUUUUCCUUUCAUAUUUUGAAGUCAUUAUUUACUCUUUAUAAUGUUUAUUAACAAAUUAUAGUAGCUAUCAUUUUUAGUACUCUUCCCCUUUAAGCUUUAUUCUAUAGUUAAGUGGUUAACAAAUACCCUAUUACAGAAUUAGAGUUUUCUGACUGUAUAUACAUACACUGCAUAUACAUCUUUACCAGUGUGUUUUCCUGUGUCUUCAUGUUGCUGAUUAGUGUCUUUUCAGCUUGAAGAACUCCGCUCAGGAGUUUUACUCUUUACUGCAAGGCUAGACUAGUGGUGAUGAACUCCCUCAGUUUUUGUGUGUGAAAAUAUUUCUCCUUCAUACCUGAGGUAUAACUUUGCCAGAUAGAGUGUUCUUGGCUGGUAAUUUUUUUCUUUCAACACUUUGAUUCCACUCUUUCCUGACCUAUAGUUCUGCUGAGAAAUCUGCUCAUAGCCUAACAGGUGUUUCUCUGUAGGUUACAGGCUUUUUCCCCUGGCUGCUUUUAGGAUUCUCUCUUUAUCUUUGCUUUUUAACAGUUUUAUUAUAAUGUGUCUUAGAGAAGGUCUUUUUGCUUUAAGAUCCUAGCGUGUCCUGUUAGCUUCAUGAACUUGGAUGUCCAAAUCUCUCCCCAUUUUUGGGAAGUUCUUGACCAUUAUUUCUUUUAUUUUCUGCCCCCUUCUACAUCUCUUCUCCUCUGGAACCCCAGUUAUUCUAAUAUUUGUUCUUUUGAUGGAAUCCUAUUAAUCACACAGGCUUUCUUCAUUUUUUAUUCAUUUUUUUUCUACACGGUGUUAUUUCAAAAUUCCUGUCCUCUAAAUCACUUAUUCUAUCAUCUUCCAUUUGCUUUUAUUCUGCUGCAGAUGCUCUCUGUUGCAUUUUUUUUCACUUCAUUCCUGGAAUUUUUCACCUUCAGAAUUUCUUUUUGGUUCCUUAUGAUUUUUAUCCCUUGGGUAAAUAACUCAUUUUGCUCAUGUAUUUUUUUCCCCCUGAUGAUUACAUUGAAUUGUCUGAGUUUUCUUGUAGUUCAUUGUGUUUCUUCAGAACAGCUAUUUUGAAUUAUCAGAUCACAAAAUUCCAUACUUUUGAGAGCAUGGUUAUUGGAAAAUUAUUUUCUUUUGGUGAUGAUGUGUUUCCUUGAUUUUUCCUGUUCCUGUAUUUUGGCUUGCUCCUUUCACAUUUGAAGUAGCUGACAUCUCCUUAAAUCUUUACCAGUUGCCUUCAGAUGGGGUAUACUAUUCAUUGGUGCUGUUAUAUUUGGGGUUUUCUCUGCUUUUGUAUAGAUAUACCUGGAUACAUACACUCUUCUUGUCCCUCUUAUGGAAGAAUUCUUAAGCUUUUGUGGCUUCCCUGGUUCUUAGCACUCACCAGUGCCCACUAGAAUCCUCUCAUUUUCCAGAAGGUGGUGCUAUAGCUCAAGUUUGUGGUUUCUCCCUAGCCCACCUAACCUGGUCUUUCUGAUGGUGUUUACUCAACUUACUGUUGCAUUUGCACUCCAGCAUGUACAAGGAGCUGACUGCAGGGUUGGUGGAGAUGUUGGGUUAGCCCUUGGGGUAUUGGAGGUGCCCGUGGACCUGACCCAGUGGGGUGAAACUUGGGUGAAUCAUGCCCAGAGGCUUGUGGGCAGACUUCCUGAGCACUGUCAGCAGGAACUACAUUCCUUUAAUGUCCUUUGAUAUUCUUAUUUGGCUCUUUCCCAGACCACCCUAGCCCCAGUUAUAAAGGUCCCUCACCACUGGGGUAGCCAGGCACUCACUGCUUUCCUUUCCCCCAUGAGAGGAGUUACCACUGCUGGGUAGUUCAGCCCUGUGCAGUGUUGCUUUGUGAAAGUUCCUCUUAUAGGCCUAACUGAACCAAACUUGUGUUUUUUGCUCCCAUGUUGUGCUGGAAUCUCCUCUUGGGAAGUCUGGAUUUUUGUGAAUUCUUUGUCAUCCAUUCAUAUCCACCUAGGACAGCACUCUCCAGGUUUGUGCCUUAUUGCAGCAAGAAGUUUUGAGGCAGUUUUGCUGGUCCUACAGCCUGUAACAAGGUCUGCCUGCCUCUUACUGGAUGUGCAGGUGGGCAAGACUCCUCCCAGGUCCCUUGGCAGAUGGUGCUCAUUUCUACAACUCCCACAACAGUGCUUUUGUUCACGGAUGCAUGUCUAAUAAUUCAUUGUUAAAAAAGGACAAAAAGAACAUUUUACACUAUGAUCCUGAUCAACUGAGUAGUUUUUAAGAUAGUUCUAUUAUCCCUAAUCUUUCAAUGCAAAUAAAAUCAAUUAUCACAAACUAUUUCAUGAUCCCUUAGAGUAUUCUCGGAACUGCUUUUUAGUAUUGAUAGAUGCAUCACAAAGUUGUGCAUGUUUGAGAGCAAAGAGCUGAUAUUUCAGUAGUUCAUUGUAAACAGUACUUUCUGUGAAUGAUAAUAGUACAACAUAUUUUAUAACUAGAGGACCAUCCCAGGAGCCACUGUAACACUAGUUAUUUUCAAGGAAAUUAACUGGAAUAAAAGAAAGGCUACAAAAGAAUUUUUGUCCUGUUUUCUUAAAGUGGUAGACUGGAUCAAGAUGGCAGACAGAACCACCUACUAUCCCUCUCAAUGUGAAAUCCUAUAUAAAGUGCUAAAGCAGAAGAAAAAUAAGAAAAUCUGCUACAGCACUGAAAAAUAGGAGCUAGCAAAAGUAGACAUUUUGAAAAAUGCCAGAAACGUCAAAAGCAGAUGGAAUCGGGAAUGGUCAACAUGGUGGCCGCCAUAAGGUGCCUCAGUAGAGUUUUGAUACAUCAUCAAAAGUAUAGUCUUUCCAAGACGGCUUAUCAGACACCUCUUUAUCCUUGUUCCGUGUAUGUUCAGGUGCCCAGCAGACAUUUUGCUGCUGCUGCAAAGCCUGCAAAGAAAAAAAAAAAGGUGUGAAAGACAAAGCAUCAGAUGAGAAAAAAGAUGAAAUAGAAAAAUAGUUCUACUCCUUUAUGGAAAGCAAACCUGAGGAUGAUGUCUACUUAAAGCACUUAUAUCCAAGGCAGAUAUAGGAGGUGGAGAAACUAUUCAGUUACUUAAGAAAUUUUAAACUCUAGGGUUUACUAAUCUACAGUAAGGUGUUUAUCUUGAUUUGACACUGGAUGUGGCACUGGGGAAGAAAAAAAAGUGGAGCCAUUUGCCAGUGUUGUUUUCCAUACCCAUUCGUUUCAGAAAUCAGUUAAGUUGCUGUAUUUACAAGGAAUGCAUCAGAGAUUAAAAUAGCAGAAGAAAGUGGAGCUGCAUUUGCAGGAGGAAUUAUUAAUCUAAUUUGGAAGAUUUUGGAUGAUGAAAUUCAAUCAGACUUUUAUGUAGCUGUUCCAGAAAUAAUGCCCGAGCUUAAUCCAUUAAAGAAAAAGCUGAAAAAAAAAUUUCCAAAACUAACUGGAAAUUCCAUUGGCCGUGACAUACCCAAAAUGCUUGAAUUAUUUAAAAUUAGACAUGAAAUUAAAGUAGACGAAGAAAGGGAGAACUUUCUCGAGACCAAAACAGCAGCACUGGAUACGCUAAGUGACCAGAUAGCUGCGAAUCUGCCAGCAGUUAUCAGUGAAGUUUGUAAGCACAGACCACUCAGUUUGGGACCUUUUGUGGGACCUUUCGUGGUACGAGCUUUCCUUCAUACUUCAACAAGUGAAGGUUUGUUACUAAAGAUCAAGCCAUUGUUGUCUAAAGAAGUAGAAACCACAGAAAGUAACAAAGAAGAUGCCUAGGGGCGCCUGGGUGGUUCAGUCGUUAAGCG